CCUCUCAUUGGCGGAGCUCCUUUUCCGGACGGAGCCAAUGAGAAGGCAGCUGUGAAGCUCUGUCUCCUUGGCAGCAAUGUUGACAUAAACAAAAUUAAUAACGAACAAACAACUCUUGAGCAUGCCUACUCAGAAAAGUCAGAGUACAGUGCUUGGAUUGCUUUCCCACUGCAUUCAUCUUUGCAGACAAGAUGGAAAAAAUCUGCCUGUUUCAAGAAUAACUUCUCGGUAACAAACAUUCCUGUUGUAAACAAGAGAUUGCCUUCUGCAUUUUUUCUCUACUUGUAGGACAGUUGUUUGUUUCUGCUGCUUGGAACACCCUUCAAAUCUCUAAAAAAAAUGUUCCUGCAUUUAAAACAUAAAUAUUUUUUCAUCAGAAGUCUAAAAACAACUCAGAAUUACUUACUUCAGCUUAAUGUAUUAUGCUGUGCUCUAGCAGCACUCUCCUGUGCUGUGGGUGAGGUUCUUUAUAGGAAUGCUUGCCCAGAUCCACUCAGAAAUGGCUAACCAGAUUGUCACGAGUACACUUCUAUAAUCUGUGAGCAUAUGGUAUAUCUUUAUCUUCUUGAUAUUUCCCUCUCUUUCUCUGAGUAUGUAAGGCUGCCACCAAGAAUUUAAUUCCACUCUAAUUAAUUAACCCGUCCUACUGUGCCGAGCCCGAG
This is a long non-coding RNA of Varanus komodoensis (Komodo dragon), 662 nucleotides long. RefSeq lists it as uncharacterized. The record is from RefSeq and is a predicted model, not a curated record. The transcript is spliced from 3 exons. Lineage: Eukaryota; Metazoa; Chordata; Lepidosauria; Squamata; Varanidae.